ACUGUACAUUGUUUUCUGGCUUUUUAUUGCCUUCUUACUACUGAGAUUGACAAAAGCAACUUCUUGCUGUAUGUGCUCCAUCUACACUGCUUUCUUCUGACCUUCAAGUGUGCCUGCUCGUUUCUGCCUUAAAAGCCCUUUACAUGCAUGAAGCGUGGCUUUAAAGUACUAUAGAAGUGUGUAAAACAAUCAGAUCACGACUGCUGACUCUAGGCUUAUGCAUGCUAGGUAAAGUGUGCGUUGAUAUGACGGCAUCAGCUCAUCGAAUUAAGGUGCGCAAAUCGUCCCAGUUUGUCCCUAACUGUCUCCGUUUAAGCACGGAAGGUCCCAAGUCCCAGGAACCCACUGAGUUUAAGUAAACUAGGACAGGUGAACGCCCCACAUUUAAUGCGUACCACUACCUUAGCAGGUGGGGCCAGUACUAGCGCAUUUUACAGAUGAGGCCUCUGAGGUUUAGAGAAGUUAAAUGCUUUACCUAAAUACCCCCACUCCCACUCCCACCCCAGGGUUCGAGAGUGAGAGCCUGGUCUUAAAGUCCUUACACAAUUGUUCUGGAAUCAGCCUCAGUACAGGUGUUUUUAAAAGGUGUUCCAGAUGUCUCCUGAAACGUGCAACCAAUUGAGGGCCAUUGCUGUCAAGUUGAAAGAACUGGGCUCAAGUCAAUCUGCCUUCAUCUGCAUCCUGGAUAAGCCUCUUAUUGACCAUGGAGCACUGGGCAAGUUGUUUAACAGGCCUGGCCUCAGUUUCCUGGUCUGUAAAGGAGGGAUCAGCAUAGCACCUACCUCACAGGGCAGUUCAGGGAAUUAAAUACUUUGACAAUUGUAAAGUCCUGAGAGGGGCGCUUGGCAAAGAAUAAGUAGUAUGUGAGAUUUGUUAUUAGCUAUUACAGGAUAAUAAUUUUCAAAAUGAAAAAAUGUAAUGUAAUAUAAAGAUUCAAAUCAUAUAGGACCUGUAUUAUUUAUUUUCAAACAAAAUGUUAUUAAAGUUUAAAAUAUUGUCACUGACUCAAACAACAUUUUCUCCCUUGGCACUUUGGACAGGAUGUUCAGACUGCCUUGAAGAAAUUGAAGUUUGCAGCUUGGGCUGCUGCUCUCAUUCAUUUUAAUACAGACACGACUAACAUCUCAUCCAAAAUGUGAAACAUAGCUUUUAAUUUAGUACCAUGGGUUCCUGCAGGACUGAGUCGACACACUGGGAAAUAUGUCAAUUAAGCUUGUUUCCCAGGAAGAAACAGGGAGGUCUUGCAAACAACCCAGGAUAGAAGGAGCCCAGGUUUUGAAGGGGGUGUUCCCUACAUGCCAGAGCUAAGCACAGGGUUGGAGGCUAGGGAAUGGAAAAGCUUCCCAAUUCAGGCAUUUCUGGAAGCAGUUGUGGCUAUUUCAGGGGGAGCUACAAACACAAGGCAAAGAGUCUUUUGAUCCCACACUUCUGUGUGAGCUUCGGAGAGACAAUCUUCCGGAUCUGGUGGUGACUUUUAAAAAAAGCGUCUCUGGAAUCCAUCCCCAGGCAGGCAGAAUUCGGUCUGAAGAUGCUCCCCAAGAGCACCUCAAAGAGCACCAGCAGGCCUUCCUCGGCAGGGACCUCCUUUAUCCAUGAGCGUUCUCUUCCCAGCCUCAUGUCCCACGGGUCCCUCCACUCUCUCCCUGAAGUCAGAUGGCGCUGGGGUUUCCCUGCGGGAACCACCCGCACAUUCGUGAGUGGAGAGAGUGCCAGCCGGGAGUCAGGCUCACUUGACUGAAGCUCCGCUUCCCUCGCUCCCCACCCACCCCUUCCGCGGCUCAGCCUGGAUCCCGCUGCUCGAUUCUCCAAGUGCCGCGUUCAUGCUGGAAGCCAGCGUUCCCCACAGUGUCUUCUGUGAAGACAAAUCCUGGGAGACGUUGGCGUUCCGGGAGAAGAAAUCGAUUCCUCAAAAAUAAGCAAAUUUUUAAUUUAAGGUGAUGUUUCAAGGAGACGUCGAUAUAUUAACGUGCUUUGCGAGUGUUUAAGAGGAAGGGGUGAAGGGCAGGGUUCUCCAAAGUUGUUGGCUACCUGGAGACCGUCUCGAGGAGUUGGACUAGAACUUGGUACUCACGAUGAUAAGCAGUGACAGGCCAGGCGCGGUGGCUCACGCCUGUAAUCCCAGCAUUUUGGGAGGCCGAGGCAGGUAGAUCACUUGAUGUCAGGAGUUGGAGACCAGCCUGGCCAACGUGGUGAAACUCUGUCUCUAUUAAAAAUACAAAAAUUAGCCGGGAGUGGUGGCGCACACCUGCAACCCCAGCUGCUCCGGAGGCUGAGGCAUGAGAGUAGUUUGAACCCGGGAGGCAGAGAUCGCAGUGAGUCCAAAUCGCGCCACUGCACUCUGGCCUGGGCGACAGUGAGACUCCAUCUCAAAUAAAUAAAUAAAUAAAAUAAGUAAAUAAAUAAAUAAAUAAAUAAACAAACAAACAAUGACAACAUUCCAUGCUCCAGGAACUGGUCUCGGUGCGGUACUGAAGAUUGAUUCAACGGUGAGAACGUCAAGCACGUACUAGUCUCCACGGGCUUACACUGUGGAGGAAAAAAUAUAAACAAACAAACAAAAAUAGCUAUAUUAUACAGCAGGAAGUGAGAAGUGACUAGAAGAAAAGUCAACCCAGAUAAGAAAAGGAAACAAUUAUAAUAGAACUUGAAUAUUUUAUAUCUUUUCUUUUUACACAUUUUGACAUUUAUUAUGAAAAUGUUGCAAGUUGAGAUAAAAUUAUAACAAAUCCCCAUAUGCUAAUUACUUUUUAAAUUAUCUUGUUUAAUCUAUAGACGCACCAUUCGUUUCCUGGUGUAUUUUAAAACAAAUUACAGACACCAUUCUAUUUUAAAUAAUAAAUGGUUUAGCAUAUAAAUCUAACAAAUAAUGACUUUUUGACACAAUUGCAGUGGAAUUAUGGCCUCUAAAACAUUAACGAUAAUUACUUAAUAGUACAGGUUGAUUCCUUGUCUGAAAUGUUCGGGAUCAGAAUUGUUUCAGAUUUCAGAUUUGUGGGGAUUUUAGAAUAUUUGCGUAUACAUAAUGAGAUAUCUUGGGGGCGAGACCUAAGUCUAAACACGAAAUUUAUUUGUCCUUCAUAUGCACCUUAUAUGCAUAGCCUGAAGAUAAUUAUGUAUUUUCACUAAUUUUGUGCAUGAAACAAAGGUUGUGGACACGAGGUCGCGUAUGAAUUUCUUUACUUGUGGUAUCAUGUAGGUACUCAAAAUUUUACAAAUUUGGAGCAUUUUGGACUUGAUUUUUGGAUUAGGGAUGCUCAACUUGCAUCUAAUACUCGGCUAGUAUUAUUUUAAUAAUUUGCUAAUCACCUCAAAAUGUCUUUUAUUAUAGCCAGUGUGUUAGAGUGCAAAAAAAUAAGUAUUCACAUUGCAUUUAGUUGAUAAAUCUCUUACGUCUUACUUGGAAGGCAUUUCCCUCCCCGCUGCCACCGAACCAUCGUUUCUUCAAUGAAAAGGCAGAUUUGUUUUUCCUGUGUUUUUUUCUCCCAUUGUGAUUGGCUGCCUGCAUGCUAGAACUUUUAUGUAACAUGUUCAUCUCUGUACCAUAUAUCUUCUGUCAAUUGGUAGAUAGACCUACAGCCUUCAUUAAAUUUGGCUUCAUUCUUUAGGCAAAAUUAAUUCAUUGACUGUGUUUGAACUUCUUGUUGCACUGUAUCUGGAGGCAGGUAUUAUGGUUGGCCAGCACGGUCCCAUGGUGCCAAUCUCAAUCCUCUUUCAAAAAAUUGCCUCAGCAUACUUUGCUGCUCCUGAUCUAGGAGCUACUGGUCUAGGAGCAAUUUUAUUCAGGCUUUCGGAGUUAUGAUUUUCAAUUUCUACUAUUUCUUCUGCAUAAUUAGCCAGAAUCUUUCUAUGCAGAAGAAACCCUUCUAAAGAUUACAGCACUUUGGGAGGCCGAGACGGGCAGAUCACGAGGUCAGGAUAUCGAGACCAUCCUGGCUAACACAGUGAAACCCUGUCUCUACUAAAAAAAAAAAAAAAAAAAAAAAAUUAGCUGGGCAUGGUGGCAGGUGCCUGUAGUCCCACCUACUUGGGAGGCUGAGGCAGGAAAAUGGCGUGAACCCGGGAGGCAGAGCUUGCAGUGAGCCAGGAUCGCACCACUGCACUCCAGCCUGGGCAACAGAGCAAGACUCAGUCUCAAAAUAAAUAAAUAAAUAAAUAAAUAAAUAAAUAAAUAAAUAAAGAUGGUUUUUGUUUGUUUUUUAAAGAUCAAGUGUGUAAACAUAAAGAGGCUGUGAAUGGUUAGGAACACAGGCUUUGUGGCCAGACAUACCUGGGAUUGAAUAUUGGCUCUAUCAGUUUUCUUCCCCAGUCCAGGCAAUUCUCAACUGUGUCCAAGGAAAAACUCACAUACCUUCUGGAAACUGUUAGUCUUCUAUAAGAUCGAACUUAGAUGUCUCGUGUCUUUUACCUAAUGGUUUAUGUGUACAUCUUUCCAUAACCAACACACAGAGAUUGACCUUGAUUUUUUUUUUUUUUUUUUAAUUUUACUUUAAGCUCUGGGAUACAUGUGCAGAACGUGCAGGUUUGUUAUAUAGGUAAACAUAUGCCAUGGUGGUCUGCUGCACCUAUGAACCUGUCAUGCAGGUUUUAAGCCCUGCAUGCAUUAGGUAUUUGUCCUAAUGCUCUCCCUCCCCUUACCCCCCAACCCCCAGAGAGGCCCCAUUGUGUGAUGUUCCCCUCUCUGUGUCCAUGUGCUCUCAUUGUUCAACCCCACUUAUGAGUGAGAACAUGCAGUGUUUGGUUUUCUGUUUCUGUGUUGGUUUGCUGAGAAUGAUGGCUUCCAGUUUCAUCCAUGUCCCUGCAAAGGACAUGCACUCAUUCUUUUUUAUGGCUGCAUAGUGUUCCAUGAUGUAUAUGUGCCAUAUUUUCUUUAUCCAGUCUAUCAUUGAUGAGCAUUUGGGUUGGUUCCAAGUCUUUGCUAUUGUAAAUAGUGCUGCUAUAAACAUAUGUGUGCAUGUGUCUUUAUAGUGGAAUGAUUUAUAAUCCUUUGGGUGUAUAGCCAGUAAUGGGAUUGCUGGGUCAAAUGGUAUUUCUGGUUCUAGAUCCUUGAGGAAUCACCGCACUGUCUUCCACAAUGAUUGAACUAACUUAUACUCCCACCAACAGUGUAAAAGCAUUUAUAUUUCUCCACAGUCUUGCCAGCAUCUGUUGUUUCCUGACUUUUUAAUAAUUGCCAUUCUCACUGGUAUGAGAUGUUAUCUCAUUAUGGUUUUGAUUUGCAUUUCUCUAAUGACCAGUAAUGAUGAGCUUUUUUCCAUGUGUUUGUUGGCCACAUAAAUGUCUUCUUUUGAGAAAUGUCUGUUCAUAUCCAUUGCCCACUUUUUGAUGGGGUUGUUUGUUUUUUUCUUGUAAAUUUGUUUAAGUUCCUUGUAGAUUCUGGAUAUUAGACCUUUAUCAAUGGGUGGAUUGCAAAAAUUUAUAAAAGGAUUACAAAAAAAUCACACACGUAGCAACAUUUAAGAAAUGAGCUGUUAUCACUGUUUGAUUCCCCGGUUCUCUGCUCUGCCCCAGAUGCCCUCAGCGUAUUUUUAGGCGAGUUUUCUCCUCCUCCACCCUGACAUAGGCUUAUCUCUCUUAAGUCUUUGUAUCUCUGUUCUUCCUUCCAUCUUCCUUCUGACCCAGCCUCAGUCUCAAGGAUCAGUGGAGCAUCUCCCUAGAAAGGCACCUCUUCCUUACCUCAUUCAUCUCCCCAGUGCUACUAACUCCUCACAGCAUGGUGCCUCUAGGUCCUAUCUCCUCAACUGGAAUACAGGCUGUGACUCCUUUAUUUUAGCAUCCUCCAAGGGCAUCUAACAUAGGUUAGGGUACAAAGUAAGGCUUAAAAAUUCUGGCUAAUCAUAUAACUGAUUGAUUAUCCACUUGACAAAUUUACUUUAAUUGAUUUCCUUCCUGAGAAUGUUGCAGAUAUUGGAAAAUCCACCUAUUUUACUUUGUAGGCCAUAAGUUGAAAAUUACAGGGAUAAACAAGUCAUUCAGGAGUAUGUGAACCCUGAAAGUUUGAGACAGGUCUCAGUUAAUUUAGAAAGUUUAUUUUGCCAAGUUUGAGGACAUACACCCAUGACACAGUCUCAGGAGGUCCUGGCAACAUGUCACCAAGGUGGUCAGAGCACAGUUUGGCUUUAUACAUUUUAGGGAGACAUGAGACAUCAAUUAACAUGUGUAAGAUGAAUAUUGGUUUGGUAUGGAAAGGCAGGAGAACUGAAAGUGGGGAAGGGGCUUCCAGGUCAUAGGUAGAUAAGGGACAAAUUGUUACAUUCUUUUGAGUUUCUGAUGAGCCUCUCCAAAGGAGGCAAUCAGACAUGCAUUUAUCUCAGUGAGCAGAUGGGUGACUUUGAAUUGAAUGGGAGGCAGGUUUGCCCUAAGCAGUUCCCAGCUUGACUUCCAUUAGCUUAGUGAUUUUGGGGACACAAAAUAUUUUCCUUUCAUAAGUAGUUGUUAUUGUUGCUGCUACUGCUA
This 6453-nucleotide long non-coding RNA is filed under the name Homo sapiens (human). RNAcentral describes it as "HSALNT0197170". The record is from RNAcentral. Lineage: Eukaryota; Metazoa; Chordata; Mammalia; Primates; Hominidae.